Molecule: microRNA precursor, 92 nt
Organism: Chlorocebus sabaeus (green monkey)
Lineage: Eukaryota; Metazoa; Chordata; Mammalia; Primates; Cercopithecidae
Source: Ensembl
GACCAUUCCUCUCUGGGAAAUGGGGCAGGUAGUGGCCGCAGUGAGAAAGCUGGCCCGUCCUUCUGCCCCAGGGCCCAGAGUCUGUGACAGGA